Molecule: ribosomal RNA, 253 nt
Filed under: uncultured bacterium
Lineage: Bacteria
Description: partial 16S ribosomal RNA
Rfam family: Bacterial small subunit ribosomal RNA
Source: RNAcentral
UACGUAGGGUGCAAGCGUUGUCCGGAAUUAUUUGGCGUAAAGAGCUCGUAGGCGGUUUGUCGCGUCUGCUGUGAAAACUCAGGGCUUAACCCUGAGCCUGCAGUGGGUACGGGCAGACUAGAGUGUGGUAGGGGAGAUCGGAAUUCCUGGUGUAGAGGUGAAAUUCGUAGAUAUCGGGAGGAAUACCAGUGGCGAAGGCGGCGACCUGGGCCAAUACUGACGCUGAGGUGCGAAAGCGUGGGGAGCAAACAGG